This 1424-nucleotide ribosomal RNA is filed under the name Veillonella sp. oral clone OH1A. RNAcentral's name for it is "16S ribosomal RNA". It matches the Rfam family "Bacterial small subunit ribosomal RNA". RNAcentral also lists the same sequence under 2 other names. The record is from RNAcentral. Lineage: Bacteria; Bacillati; Bacillota; Negativicutes; Veillonellales; Veillonellaceae.
UAGUGGCGAACGGGUGAGUAACGCGUAAUCAACCUGCCCUUCAGAGGGGGACAACAGUUGGAAACGACUGCUAAUACCGCAUACGAUCUAACCUCGGCAUUCAGGAUAGAUGAAAGGUGGCCUCUAUUUUUAAGCUAUCACUGAAGGAGGGGAUUGCGUCUGAUAUGCGAUAGUGAGGGGGGACGGGGCCCCCCGGCGGAUGACCAGUGCCGGUUUGAGAGGAUGAACGGCCACCAUUGGACUGAGACACGGCCCAGACUCCUACGGGAGGCAGCAGUGGGGAAUCUUCCGCAAUGGACGAAAGUCUGACGGAGCAACGCCGCGUGAGUGAUGACGGCCUUCGGGUUUAAAGCUUCGUUAAUCGGGAAGAAAGGGCCUCUGCGCGAACAGUGAGAAGGAUUGACGGUACCGGAAUAGAAAGCCACGGCUAACUACGUGCCAGCAGCCGCGGUAAUACGUAGGUGGCAAGCGUUGUCCGGAAUUAUUGGGCGUAAAGCGCGCGCAGGCGGAUCAGUCAGUCUGUCUUAAAAGUUCGGGGCUUAACCCCGUGAUGGGAUGGAAACUGCUGAUCUAGAGUAUCGGAGAGGAAAGUGGAAUUCCUAGUGUAGCGGUGAAAUGCGUAGAUAUUAGGAAGAACACCAGUGGCGAAGGCGACUUUCUGGACGAAAACUGACGCUGAGGCGCGAAAGCCAGGGGAGCGAACGGGAUUAGAUACCCCGGUAGUCCUGGCCGUAAACGAUGGGUACUAGGUGUAGGAGGUAUCGACCCCUUCUGUGCCGGAGUUAACGCAAUAAGUACCCCGCCUGGGGAGUACGACCGCAAGGUUGAAACUCAAAGGAAUUGACGGGGGCCCGCACAAGCGGUGGAGUAUGUGGUUUAAUUCGACGCAACGCGAAGAACCUUACCAGGUCUUGACAUUGAGUGAAAGGGCAAGAGAUUGUCCCCUUAUCUUCGGAUAACACGAAAACAGGUGGUGCAUGGUUGUCGUCAGCUCGUGUCGUGAGAUGUUGGGUUAAGUCCCGCAACGAGCGCAACCCCUAUCUUAUGUUGCCAGCACUUCGGGUGGGAACUCAUGAGAGACUGCCGCAGACAAUGCAGAGGAAGGCGGGGAUGACGUCAAAUCAUCAUGCCCCUUAUGACCUGGGCUACACACGUACUACAAUGGGAGUUAAUAGACGGAAGCGAGAUCGCGAGAUGGAGCAAACCCGAGAAACACUCUUUCAGUUCGGAUGGUAGGCUGCAACUCGCCUACGUGAAGUCGGAAUCGCUAGUAAUCGCAGGUCAGCAUACUGCGGUGAAUACGUUCCCGGGCCUUGUACACACCGCCCGUCACACCACGAAAGUCGGAAGUGCCCAAAGCCGGUGGGGUAACCUUCGGGAGCCAGCCGUCUAAGGUAAAGUCGAUGAUUGGGGAAAAGUCGUAA